UCCGCGCUGGUGUAACGGCAGCACUACGGUCUUUGGAGCCGUCGGACCGGGUUCGAACCCCGGGUGCGGAG
RNAcentral lists this transfer RNA (71 nucleotides) under Arthrobacter sp. zg-Y1110. RNAcentral's name for it is "tRNA-Gln". It matches the Rfam family "tRNA". From Rfam's summary of the family: Transfer RNA (tRNA) molecules are approximately 80 nucleotides in length. Their secondary structure includes four short double-helical elements and three loops (D, anti-codon, and T loops). Lineage: Bacteria; Bacillati; Actinomycetota; Actinomycetes; Micrococcales; Micrococcaceae. The record is from RNAcentral.